CUACGGUGAAUACGUUCCCGGACCUUGCACACACCGCCCGUCAAGCCAUGGGAGCCGGGUGUACCUAAAGUCGGUAACCGUAAGGAGCCGCCUAGGGUAAAACUGGUGACUGGGGCUAAGUCGUAACAAGGUACCC
RNAcentral lists this ribosomal RNA (136 nucleotides) under uncultured bacterium. Its description in RNAcentral is "partial 16S ribosomal RNA". It matches the Rfam family "Bacterial small subunit ribosomal RNA", at positions 1357 to 1501 of the family's 1533-position model. The record is from RNAcentral.